Long non-coding RNA from Apis dorsata (giant honeybee), 385 nucleotides. RefSeq lists it as uncharacterized. The transcript has 2 exons. NCBI's taxonomy places the organism in Eukaryota, Metazoa, Arthropoda, Insecta, Hymenoptera, Apidae. The record is from RefSeq and is a predicted model, not a curated record.
AAAAAUGAAAUAUAGAUUUCAAUUCCGAGACAAUCAGUUUUAUACGAGAUUUUUGAUAUGCCUCGAGAUUUUCGAUCGGAAAUAUUACAGAAAAGGCCGUUAAGCUCGUGCACAGAAAGGGCCCAAAGGAUCCUUGUAUAACUUAUUUACCAACGUUCGCAUAUAGAGAUAGAUUCGGUAAACUAACGGGUUUGGCGUGUACACACGAAGGAAGGCGCAAGAUUGCAACGGGGAUUAAAAUAUUUCAAAAGGCUAGGGUGGCCAGGUUUUCGGCCAAACGCAAGAGUAAUGGUUCUUUUAAAUUUCUAAGCUGACCUAGAUACACGCGGGUCGAGAGACAGAAGGUGUGUACACGAGCCACUCCUGUGAUCUUGCUUGAAGCAAG